AACGUAGGAGACAAACGUUAUCCGGAGUUACUGGGCGUAAAGGGCGUGUAGGUGGUUGUGUAAGUUCGGCGUGAAAUCUCUCGGCUUAACCGGGAGUGGUCGUCGGAUACUGCACGACUAGAGGACGGUAGAGGCGUGUGGAAUUCCGGGUGUAGUGGUGAAAUGCGCAGAUAUCAGGAGGAACACCGAUGGCGAAGGCAGGUCUCUGGGCAUUAACUGACGCUGAGGAGCGAAAGCAUGGGGAGCGAACAGG
Molecule: ribosomal RNA, 253 nt
Filed under: uncultured bacterium
Lineage: Bacteria
Description: partial 16S ribosomal RNA
Rfam family: Bacterial small subunit ribosomal RNA
Source: RNAcentral